Long non-coding RNA from Juglans microcarpa x Juglans regia, 1566 nucleotides. RefSeq lists it as uncharacterized. The record is from RefSeq and is a predicted model, not a curated record. NCBI's taxonomy places the organism in Eukaryota, Viridiplantae, Streptophyta, Magnoliopsida, Fagales, Juglandaceae. The transcript is spliced from 2 exons.
UCAUUUGACGUUUUUUUUAUGGCUGUAUUAAAGCACUAAAAUUUUCACCUCACUUGAUAUUUCUUUUUGUAGCCCGGCUUUCUAAGAGGAGAAAGUAUCUACUUAAGGGACUGAUCAGUGUUGAGUCUAGCACAAUUAAUGGUGUGUUUGAAGUAACCAAGAGUAUCACUGUGGACAUUCUAAACAGUGAGGGCAGUGUAGUUAAUGCUACCAUAGCUAAAGUUAGUUCCAAUGACAAUGAUCAAACCAGUAAAGUUAGAUCUUGAUUGUUUCAAUCACCUUCUCAUUGCUGUUAGAAGCUGUUUUUGCCUUUUGCUUUAUUGAUGAUUCUAAUGCAAUAUUGUGCUUGAUUACAAUGGAUUGAAACAUAAACCAAUUCCUAACACUCUUCCAGAACCAGCUCUACUUUCUUCGCUGAGACCCCUGAGUGAGUUCAGUCUGCUGCGGUUAAGCUCCAAAAGGUGCACAAGAGUUACAGGACUCGCAACCUUGCACAUUGUGCAGUGGUUGUGGAGCAGCUAUGGAGGAAAGCAUUGGACUUUGCUGCUCUAAAGCAGGUUCUGUGUCAUUCUUUGAUGUUGAGAAACCAGAAACCGCUGUUUCAAGGUGGGUGAGGGCAAAUAAUACAGCAGCCAAGGCCCACGGUGCUUGUACACCAUAAGAAUUCCAAGCUUCUGCAUAACGUGAUUUUAUAUCUUCUUGAUCUGCUGGAGAAUUAUUUCGAUAUUGAUUAAGAAGAAUUACUAAUAGAAAAAUUAAGAAGGCUAAGAAAUCAAGAGAUUAAUUACUGAGUGCAGGUGGGAAAGGGUUUGUCCAAGUAGAAGUAUGAGAAGGCUCAAAAACUGGCGCUGCAAUACUGGGUUAAUGGCUGCCACUUCAAGAUCAAGGCCAUGGAUUUUCCUGCAAGACCAUGGACAUGGAGCAGCCUGGCCUUCAACAUAGCUUGAGAAGUAGUAGUACUGAAAAGAUUUCUAAACCUUGUGUGAAGCCGGGAAUGGGAAUUAAAAGAAAACUGAGAAGAUUGGUGUUUAAAGGGUACGAGUGCGAGGGUGAAAUAAAACAUCAUGAUGUAUGGUUUAUGCCAUUAGUUACUGUGGAUUACAGUUGGAGAUGUGGGCUGAUGCCGGUGGCAACCUGGAUGACAUGUGAACAACAAAUGCAAAAUCACCGAAUUUGCUGUGGAUUAAAAGAAAAGCGUUCAAUGCUGUGGCUACUGCAGUUUCAAGUGCCGCUGCUCAUAUGAGAUUGAUGGAUUGUUGGUUGAUUCAUGUAUAGGAAUAGUAUUCAAGAACUCUUGAACCCCUCGUAGAGAAGGGCCCUAUACACACCACCUUUAAUGUAGAACUUUUCUUUGUUGCCAAUUUGUAAUGUACUAUUUCUUCAAGCUGUAUGCUGCUUUGAUGCUUGCUGCUGUUCCUUCUGUUUGCUGCCUGGAUGUUUGUUGCUGCUGUUGUGGCUAGCCAUGUUGUCAUGCUAUUCAUUUCUAUGGAGCCAUGUAUUACUUCAUUGUUAUUAAUAGAAUAUUUUGUGUUUUGUAAUGUCAUGUAUAAAUAUUAAACAAUGUAA